Molecule: ribosomal RNA, 262 nt
Filed under: uncultured prokaryote
Description: partial 16S ribosomal RNA
Rfam family: Bacterial small subunit ribosomal RNA
Source: RNAcentral
UACGGAGGAUCCGAGCGUUAUCCGGAUUUAUUGGGUUUAAAGGGUGCGUAGGUGGAUUGGUAAGUCAGUGGUGAAAUUUUGCAGCUCAACUGUAAAAGUGCCAUUGAUACUGGUUUUCUUGAGUGUGGAUGAAGUAGGCGGAAUUUGUGGUGUAGCGGUGAAAUGCAUAGAUAUCACGAGGAACUCCGAUUGCGCAGGCAGCUUACUAAACCAUAACUGACGCUCAGGCACGAAGGCGUGGGGAGUCAAACAGGAUUAGAUA